GGGAUGGUACUUUAUUGUUACAGCUAUUCUACGAUAAGUUUGUGUUUCAAGGAAUAGUUUAUAGAGAAUCCCAGCU
This 76-nucleotide transfer RNA is filed under the name Inia geoffrensis (Amazon river dolphin). RNAcentral's name for it is "tRNA-Pro". The record is from RNAcentral. Lineage: Eukaryota; Metazoa; Chordata; Mammalia; Artiodactyla; Iniidae.